AGAAUCAACGCUGGCGGCGUGCCUAACACAUGCAAGUCGAACGAGAAAGUGGAGCAAUCCAUGAGUAAAGUGGCGACCGGGUGAGUAACACGUGACUAACCUACCUUCGAGUGGGGGAUAACCUCGGGAAACCGAGGCUAAUACCGCAUAACAUCGCAAGAUCAAAGCAGCAAUGCGCUUGAAGAGGGGGUCGCGGCUGAUUAGCUAGUUGGCGGGUAACGGCCCACAAGGCGAAGAUCGGUAUCCGGCCUGAGAGGGCGCACGGACACACUGGAACUGAAACACGGUCCAGACUCCUACGGGAGGCAGCAGUGGGGAAUUUUGCGCAAUGGGGGAAACCCUGACGCAGCAACGCCGCGUGGAGGAUGAAGCCCCUUGGGGCGUAAACUCCUUUCGACCAAGACGAUAAUGACGGUACUGGUGGAAGAAGCACCGGCUAACUCUGCGCCAGCAGCCGC
RNAcentral lists this ribosomal RNA (458 nucleotides) under uncultured bacterium. RNAcentral's name for it is "SSU rRNA". It matches the Rfam family "Bacterial small subunit ribosomal RNA", at positions 26 to 518 of the family's 1533-position model. The record is from RNAcentral.